GUCAGUGACCACACCAUGUUGAAAAAACCAGUUGUCGUUCGAUCAUCGCAGUUGAACAACGAUAGGCCCCGCUGGUAUUUGCAUGGGUGGCUGGUUAGGAAUACUAUGUGCUGUUGGCU
This 119-nucleotide ribosomal RNA is filed under the name Trichobilharzia regenti. Lineage: Eukaryota; Metazoa; Platyhelminthes; Trematoda; Strigeidida; Schistosomatidae. The record is from RNAcentral.